CCUACGGGGAGCAGCAGUGAGGAAUAUUGGUCAAUGGACGCAAGUCUGAACCAGCCAUGCCGCGUGCAGGAAGACGGCUCUAUGAGUUGUAAACUGCUCUUGUACGAGGGUAAACGCAGAUCCGCGUAUCUGUCUGAAAGUAUCGUCCGAAUAAAGAUCGGCUAACUUCGGGCCAACAGCCGCGGUAAUACGGAGGAUUCAAGCGUUAUCCGGAUUUAUUGGGUUUAAAGGGUGCGUAGGCGGUCGGAUAAGUUAGAGGUGAAAUCCUGAGGUUCAACUUCGGAUUUGCCUCUGAUACUGUGCGGCGAGAGAGUAGUUGCGGUAGUCGGGAUGUAUGGUGUAGCGGUGAAAUGCUUAGAGAUCAUACAGAAAAACGAUUGCGAAGGCAGCUUUCCAAGCUACUUCUGACGUUGAGGCACGAAAGCGUGGGGAGCAAACAGGAUUAGAUACCCCGGGUAGUC
RNAcentral lists this ribosomal RNA (461 nucleotides) under uncultured bacterium. RNAcentral's name for it is "partial 16S ribosomal RNA". It matches the Rfam family "Bacterial small subunit ribosomal RNA", at positions 338 to 795 of the family's 1533-position model. The record is from RNAcentral.